GCAGCCGCAGGUGAGAUCUGCCUCCCUUCCAUAAGAUUUAGAAAUGGAACGGGUGCCAUCGAACUCCAUCUCUCUCUCUCUCUCUCUCUCUCUCUCUCUCUCUCUCUCUCUCCGAUUUGUUUACUGAUGUCCCCCAAAUCGAUUUGGUUUUAGACCAUCGGAGCACCCAUGCGUGUGGCCGGCUUUUCUAGCGCCCAAGCACCUAUCUUUUUGGCAAAAAUAACUGAAGUGUCCAUCCUUGCCCACUUGUAAAAAUCUGAUCCCUAACUGGCUUAUAAGUGAAGAUGCACGAGCCAUAAAAAUUGGUGAAAUGAUUGCAAGCAGGGAAGCACUUGGGUAUCCCUGUAUGAGUUGUUGAAUCAAUUUGCGGUGAAUCGGUUUGUAGUGAAUCAAUCUGGCACCCCUGUGGCCUGUGGUGUCAUCCUGCUGAAGCAUGAGGGUUGAAGACUUGAAGCUAGAGAUUGUCUAUGGACUAUACAGUGAUGAAAGUGUCAGACU
Long non-coding RNA from Panicum virgatum (switchgrass), 498 nucleotides. RefSeq lists it as uncharacterized. The transcript is spliced from 4 exons. NCBI's taxonomy places the organism in Eukaryota, Viridiplantae, Streptophyta, Magnoliopsida, Poales, Poaceae. The record is from RefSeq and is a predicted model, not a curated record.